UCGAUGAUGAUUAAUUGCUAAAACAUGGAAUUACCGUCUGAGUUAUAUACUUUGGUGAGAAAAACGCUGCUUUAACUGAGA
Eutrema salsugineum is the source of this 81-nucleotide small nucleolar RNA. Lineage: Eukaryota; Viridiplantae; Streptophyta; Magnoliopsida; Brassicales; Brassicaceae. The record is from Rfam.